Long non-coding RNA from Eriocheir sinensis (Chinese mitten crab), 381 nucleotides. RefSeq lists it as uncharacterized. Lineage: Eukaryota; Metazoa; Arthropoda; Malacostraca; Decapoda; Varunidae. The record is from RefSeq and is a predicted model, not a curated record. The transcript has 3 exons.
GCUGAGUUCUGUUUGAUGGAGGUGAUGAUGGAGUUCUCAGAUUGCUCCAGCCUACUUUUCAUACUGCACACAGAAUGUGUUUGCAGUAAAGGCAGACAGUUCAUCCCAUGUCCAGUGAAGGCCAUGGAUAAGCAAGUCCAUUUGGGCAGCCCCAGAAGCAAGGAUGUCGUGACAGAUCCCAAGAUGGUUCAGAGAGGCCACCCUGUACCUAACUACAGUGUCCUCAGGUCGUCUUCGUAGUCACAGGUGAGUGUGUUGAGGCGUGCAGGCGUGUGCUAGGCGUAGGUGCUGCUUGGAACCUGUUGCAAAUGGUAUCGUAAUGUAUUAGGUAUGUUCCAACCCUUCUCCAACAGUUCAUGUCUCGUGGAAAUACUGUUACAC